Long non-coding RNA from Mirounga angustirostris (Northern elephant seal), 382 nucleotides. RefSeq lists it as uncharacterized. The record is from RefSeq and is a predicted model, not a curated record. The transcript is spliced from 3 exons. Lineage: Eukaryota; Metazoa; Chordata; Mammalia; Carnivora; Phocidae.
CAUGCCCAGGGCUGAUCUCAAACCACCGUCAAGGAAUCUUUUUAUAAGAAGACAGGGCCUGAGUAUAAGACUGAAGGAGAAGAGUUGGAAUAUUUCUGAAAAGGAGCUAAAGCAACUCUACUCUGGCCCCUCUGGUUCUUAAAGUCAGAAGUCCAACAAGACCCUUACUGGGCUGAAAUCAAGGCGUCAGCAAGUCUGCAUCCCUUUCUGAAGACUCGAGGGAAAAUUCUGUUCCACUGCCUUUUCCAGCUUCUAGAGGCUACCCAUAUUUCUUGGCUUUCUGUCCCCUUCCUUCACCUUCACCAGUCGUGCUGUCUUUCUCAUGCUGCUAUCUCUCUGGUUCUCUGCAGCUGGGAAAAUUUCUUCAAUUUUAAGGACUCAU